AUUGAACGCUGGCGGCAUGCUUUACACAUGCAAGUCGAACGGCAGCGCGGGCUUCGGCCUGGCGGCGAGUGGCGAACGGGUGAGUAAUACAUCGGAACGUGCCCAGUAGUGGGGGAUAGCUCGGCGAAAGCCGGAUUAAUACCGCAUACGACCUGAGGGUGAAAGCGGGGGAUCUUCGGACCUCGCGCUAUUGGAGCGGCCGAUGGCGGAUUAGCUAGUUGGUGGGGUAAAGGCCUACCAAGGCGACGAUCUGUAGCUGGUCUGAGAGGACGACCAGCCACACUGGGACUGAGACACGGCCCAGACUCCUACGGGAGGCAGCAGUGGGGAAUUUUGGACAAUGGGCGAAAGCCUGAUCCAGCAAUGCCGCGUGUGUGAUGAAGGCCUUCGGGUUGUAAAGCACUUUUGGCGGGAACGAAAAGGACUGUGCCAAUACCACGGCUCGAUGACGGUACCCGCAGAAUAAGCACCGGCUAACUACGUG
RNAcentral lists this ribosomal RNA (484 nucleotides) under uncultured bacterium. Its description in RNAcentral is "partial 16S ribosomal RNA". It matches the Rfam family "Bacterial small subunit ribosomal RNA", at positions 29 to 507 of the family's 1533-position model. The record is from RNAcentral.